GUAGUGGCAACCUUCACACCAGCUCCUGCUAGAGGGAGGGAAGGUGGCAACCUUCACACCAGCUCUUGCUAGAGGGAGGGAGGAGUAGUGGCAACCUUCACACCAGCUCUUGCUAGAGGGAGGGGGGGGUAGUGGCAACCUUCAGUGUAGUGGUAGGAGGAGGAGAACAAGGGCUAUUCUGAGCACUAUAGAGAAAGGGAGAAGGAGGAGGAUAGAGGUAUGGAGGAAGGUGGAUUAAAGGGUAUAUUUUAAGCACUACAGGGUUGGAGGGAGGGGGUUAUUCUAAGUACUUCAGAUAGACAUCUACUGUACACACAGGUACAGUACACUGGGAUAGGUCUAUAGACCUGCUAUAAAAACACUGUAUAAAGGAGGGAUCACAGGUUCAGGGAGGGAGAGAGAAAAAGAGAGGGAUCACAGGUUCAGGGAGAAGGAGAGGAUGAGGAGGAUGACUCACUGCGCUGGACAGUAGACUCCUAGUCGUACUGAAGAGGAGGAUUGUGGGGGUGAAUAAGCUCCGAUGUCCAGGAGGAAUACAAGACAAACAUGAAUACAGUAACAGAACACUAACACAUUCUACCCCUGAGAAGAACAGGCAGGAUGACUCACUGUCUAAAGCACUUACAAUGACUUACAGGACUUACCAGCAAUACACUGUUGCACUCUUCAAUUUCAUCAUUACUCUGUGGUACUCUAUGGUAUGCUAUGAUACUGUAAUUAGUGUGGUGCUCUUUAAUACACAGAAUUUCGCUGUGGUACUCUUCAGUACUCUGUGGUACUGUUUAAUACGGUCCUUAUUAUGGUUCUUUUCAAUACUCUAUUACUCUUAGUGAAAAGGAGUUUGGUCACAUGAUUACACUGACUGAAUAGUGAUAGAAGCAACCACACCAACAUGUACUGUGACUUUAACACUGUAGCUGGUUAAUGUCUGCUUUCACAGGGUGAACAGUGUUUCAUCUGAUCCUACUGGUGCCCUGUCACACAGACCUGAUGCACAGCAAACACUUCCAUCCAGUCCUUCAUGGAGAUCUGAUAUGCAAGUGUACUUUUUAAAACACGGUUGGACCAAAUGCUGCCAGAUAUAUGAGAAUGAUGAACAAAUGUGGAUAGUUUUUCUAAUUCAUGAAAUCAACAAUAUUCUGCUGAACGUGGUAUCAUAGUUAACAUUGCUUUACAAACCAUAUCUGACAGUUUGAUUCCUAUUCUGCUGUAUGUUCUACUACUUGACUGCCUGCCACUACAGAUGCAUGUAUGGAGUUUGCUCUGAUACCAAUCCUCUCUCACCAUUUCUUCACACACACACUUUACACAUUGUAUUUGUAGCAUCUGUGCACAACUUCUAUGCAGUCCUUACAAUUAAUACUCAGAGAAGCUUGUGAAGGUCUUAAUCACUAUGCCUUAAAAGUUGUUUAAAUGAUUUUGUAAUGCAUGAUUUUCAGUUGUACUUGUUCCGGUGUACUCUGGAUAGAUUUUUCUAAAUGAUUUGUUUCUAUUUAAUUGGUUUUGGGGGAGAUCUGGGGGCUUGUAUUUUCAUUCAGUGAUACAGUAGUUACCACUGUAAGUGAUAUUGCUGCAAUGUUCAUAAAUCUUCCAACUGUUCAGUUGUCUUGAAAUAUUUUGUAUAGAAUAUGGUGCUCUAGUGUUUCUUAUACCCUACACAUACAGUACUUACUGUUUAGUAUAUAUGAAGCACUAGACUACCAUACUGUAUGGCUUUGUUGUAACUGAGUACAGAAGGUGGUACAUGAUUACUGAUUAGUCAUUUUACGCUGUGAAUUUGUACUUCACAAUACCAAUCUGUUUUCUAUUGAAUUAAAUAUUGCAUGGCAAUCAAA
Molecule: long non-coding RNA, 1835 nt
Organism: Oncorhynchus tshawytscha (Chinook salmon)
Lineage: Eukaryota; Metazoa; Chordata; Actinopteri; Salmoniformes; Salmonidae
Source: Ensembl